CCUACGGGGGGCUGCAGUGAGGAAUAUUGGUCAAUGGCCGGAAGGCUGAACCAGCCAUGCCGCGUGAAGGUCAGUGCCCUAUGGGCGUUAAACUUCUUUUGUGCGGGAGCAAUAAUGGUCACGUGUGGCCAGACGAGAGUACCCUACGAAUAAGCAUCGGCUAACUCCGUGCCAGCAGCCGCGGUAAUACGGGGGAUGCAAGCGUUAUCCGGGUUUAUUGGGUUUAAAGGGUGCGGAGGCUGUGAGGUAAGUCAGCGGGGAAAUGCCCCCGCUCAACGGGGUGAAGUGCCAUUGAUACUGCCUUGCUGGAAUGCGGAUGCCGUGGGAGGAAUGUGUGGUGUAGCGGUGAAAUGCAUAGAUAUCACACAGAACACCGAUUGCGAAGGCAUCUCACGAAUCCGCGAUUGACGCUGAUGUACGAAAGCGUGGGUAUCAAACAGGAUUAGAUACCCUUGUAGUC
Molecule: ribosomal RNA, 460 nt
Filed under: uncultured bacterium
Lineage: Bacteria
Description: partial 16S ribosomal RNA
Rfam family: Bacterial small subunit ribosomal RNA
Source: RNAcentral